RNAcentral lists this ribosomal RNA (463 nucleotides) under uncultured bacterium. Its description in RNAcentral is "bacterial SSU rRNA". It matches the Rfam family "Bacterial small subunit ribosomal RNA", at positions 338 to 793 of the family's 1533-position model. The record is from RNAcentral.
CCUACGGGAGGCAGCAGUGGGGAAUUUUGGACAAUGGGCGCAAGCCUGAUCCAGCAAUGCCGCGUGCAGGAUGAAGGCCUUCGGGUUGUAAACUGCUUUUGUACGGAACGAAACGGUCCUUUCUAAUACAAGGGGCUAAUGACGGUACCGUAAGAAUAAGCACCGGCUAACUACGUGCCAGCAGCCGCGGUAAUACGUAGGGUGCGAGCGUUAAUCGGAAUUACUGGGCGUAAAGCGUGCGCAGGCGGUUAUAUAAGACAGAUGUGAAAUCCCCGGGCUCAACCUGGGACCUGCAUUUGUGACUGUAUAGCUAGAGUACGGUAGAGGGGGAUGGAAUUCCGCGUGUAGCAGUGAAAUGCGUAGAUAUGCGGAGGAACACCGAUGGCGAAGGCAAUCCCCUGGACCUGUACUGACGCUCAUGCACGAAAGCGUGGGGAGCAAACAGGAUUAGAUACCCUGGUAG